Astyanax mexicanus (Mexican tetra) is the source of this 3238-nucleotide long non-coding RNA. RefSeq lists it as uncharacterized. The transcript has 2 exons. Lineage: Eukaryota; Metazoa; Chordata; Actinopteri; Characiformes; Acestrorhamphidae. The record is from RefSeq and is a predicted model, not a curated record.
GAAAGAAGAAAAAGGGGAGGAAACUCUGGGAAUUUGGGCUGGAUUUCUGGAUUGAUUGCUAAAGGAGCGUGCAAUUGGUCAUGCUGGUCAUACUGUUGGACCAGACUGGUCAUACUGGUCAGUCAGUGUUGGAGAAACAGAACCCGGGUCAGAAGUCCAUCCCUGGUUUUUUAGUUCUGUUGGCCGCCAAGCUGGUUGUCAAGAUGGUCAAAUUAGUGUAUUUGUAUCGUCUCAACGAGAUAAUGAUGGUCAUGCUGGUCAACCAACACUGUCAUAAGGGACACGCUUGUGGACCAACUAAUCCAUCAAAUUUAAACAAAAACCUACCCUAUUCUGCUCAACCAGCAUAUCCAGCUUAUCUUAACCAUCUUGGGCUUUCCACAAAAUUUUAUUCCAUUUUUAAAAAUAAUUUGUUCAAAACCAUUGUCCCAGAUAUCUGAGCCAGCUUGAGCUUUAAGGUUCAAAGGCUCCCCAGAGGCUCCUGGUAGUCACUGGUUCCACUGGUCUGGGUUUUCUUGGUUUAAUAGGCAAUGUUGAAGUGGCGUUAUGAAAUAGCAACUAUGAAAUGAGAGAUUCUGAGAAGCUCUGACAUUCGGAAAGCGAGAAUUGCGAGCCAGAGGGACGUUCAAAUGGACUUCCUCCCACGUGUAGAAACUUCCCGGUUCCCACUUGGUCAUAAACGCAGCCUGAGGAAUGAAUUCUCUUCUGAGGAAGCGAGGUGAAAUUAGAAAAAGUGAGAGAGGAAGAGCGAGAGAGGUGCUCUAGGGAAUAAAUACUGGCACGAGCGCCGAUAAUUCCUGCUGUGGCAAUUCAAAAGCAAUUAUUAUUAUUAUAAUUUAAUAUAUAACAUUAUCUUAUAAUAACUUAUUAGAACUGUGGGAAGGAGCUCCGGAAAGCGGCAGGCAAAGAGAAUUUUCUACCUAAUUUCUUACAGAAGCACAGACUCGACUCGACUCACAAAACUCCCCUCUCUGGUUAUUCACGCUAGCAUUAGCGUGCACACACACACACUCAUACACACUUCCCAGGAACACCAGAGGAGACAGUGGAGCUGUCACUCUCCACAAUCUCCCGUUACAUUUGCGUAAAUAAUUCACUGGUGCACUCCCGACCAAAGUUACGAAACAUCUCGUAUCUGAAAUAUUGAUUUUGGGCCCUGCGAGCUGCAUUGUUUGAAAAAUAGGCCUCAUGAAAAAUGCACUCAUCCCCAAGUAUGAAUAUUCAUGCGCCAGUAUUAAAAUAAAAAACAGCCACUCCUGAGUCGCUUAAAGGAGCAGAAACCCGUUUAGGUUCAAACGUUUCUGCGAGAGCGAGAAAAAAAGCUCUUACAGAGUAUACUGUAGCUCUUACAGAAGUCACGGCUCCGCCCACUUUGGCACUUCACGCAUGACUACAACUCUUCAACUCUGUGACACAUUCUGAUGUCGUUCGUCUUUGCUUUCGAGUCCCAGAGAUUCACCUGGUCUGUCUGAGCACAGCGCUCUUCUUCUCCCAGACUCUUCUUCUCCCGUCUGCCCUCGUUUAGAGACCACCGAAGCCCUGCUCCUUUAACCUGGGAACAAAACAGACCACCCUGAAUCUCACACUGAACCUUUCAAUCACCCUCCUGAUCUAUCUAUUAGUUAAUCUAAGGAAAAGUGCGUACUUUUCUUUUUCACACCAUUCUCUCAAUUUUUAGAUUCUCCAAAAACUAACAAACUUGUCAGCUUAUUUUAUGUGUUUUUCAUUUGUUUUCAUAUAUUUUUUUUUAAUUUUCAUAUUUGUCAGUUGAGAUAUGUUGACAUACAGGGGUUGGACAAUGAAACUGAAACCUGGUUUUAGACCACAAUAAUUUAUUGUGGUGACGGACAGUUCUGGUUGAAAUAGGAGAGUUGAGGUGCACGUUGAAUUCUGUCGUGAUUUGGGCAGCCGUGGUUUUAUGUUUUUUGGAUACAAUCCGGGUUAGCACCCGAACAUCCCUUUCAGACAGAUUCCUCUUACAGCAUCCACAGUUAAUCCUGUUGGAUGUGGUUCCUCCUUCUUGGUGGUAUGCUGCUCAUUCCCCAACACUAACUUCACCCCCGAGCAUGCCAGUACAACACACAACAACAAGCGAGCGGUGCUGCAGCAUGGAAGCUAGUAAGCAGGCUGGUUCAGCUGAAACCUUAGAUCAGUGACCAAAAAAUAUCAGUGACUAAACAGCUUAAUCAGAAUAGGCAUUGUGCUCACAUGGUUUGUUGGGAUGUAUUUUAGUCCGUUUAGUUUUGCGCCUGUGUGAAAAAAAACAAAAAGAGGAGGAAAACGCUCCAAGUACCAGAGACCAAACUACAGGUGUGAAAAAGCCCUAAAUCUUAUUGACCAGUCCGAACCAAGCUAACCAAAAGCCAAGUUUUUAAUGUCAAUCAAAGAGGUUAGUUAAUUUUUUCAUAUAUUCAUAAAUUCAUCUUAAAUUAUUGUUUUUAUCAAGCAAGACAAUCAGCUUUAGUUCAGUUCCCGUCAAAACUGGUAAACAAAAUUCAAAUAAACUGUUAUACCCCCCAAAGUAACUGAAAUCUACAUACUGUAUUGUAGAAAAUGUCAAUCAUCGGAACUCAAGCACUUUAAAAGAGGCCAUACACAAUACCAUACACCUUUUGACAUAGGUCUAUUGAGAACAGAUUUAAACCAAUCAGAAAGUAUAUACAUACAUAUAAAACAGUUAUACAGACUUGUAUUUAAAUAGCUCAGUUGCUUCAAAUAAAUGAAUUAAUUAUCUCAGCAGCAGCUCUCUGUAUUUUAAUGUGUUUUAUUAUGGUGGGAAAGGCAAAUAGUUAAAACUAAUAAGACAUUAAGGUUAUCAGAAAAAGGAAGAAACAUUUUGUUUGCAGUUCUUACGCUGUUUACCGCUGAAGUUAUUGUAAUACUGUCACAUCUGACACUGAACAAUUGUCAAAGAACUCCACUUCCCAGCAUGCUCUGGACUAUGACUCUGCAGAUCACAUCACCCAAGAUCACCUGAGUAUUGAUUUCACCUGUUCACCUCACUAUAGUAGAUAUCUCUGUUAUGCACUCACUAAUCAAGUAUUAGAUUUGGUUCUGUCCGUUUAUACAAAGUGUUUAUCUAGUCCAUUCUUUUUGUUUAUUCUGUGUAUGACCCUUUUUGUAUUUCCGAUAUUGUUUUUUUACCUUGCCCUCUGAUACUUCUUUGCCAUGUUUUGACCCUGCCUGUUUUUACAUGACCCCUUUGUUUGUUUUGUUUAAUAAACUCACUUUUUUGUUA